GCUGGCUCUGUGCUCUCUCGCCCUGCACUCGGAGCGGCCGCCCCAUACGACUGCGCAGACACGGUGGUGAUUACGCGGCCUGAUUGACUAUUGGGCACAAUCAAUUUCUCGGGCGAACAUGGGAGCAUCAAGCCUGCAAAAUAUAUUUCGAGUUUGUGUGUUGGGUGAGCGAGUAAGCAGCGUACUACGGGAACAUUUUAAUGUCUCUUCUGAUAUAUCUUGCAUUAAAAUUAAUUUUAAUAUUAUUGUAAUUUAAUUUUUAUCUUUGAUUGUUUUGCGCCAAAGUAAAAAAA
Papilio polytes (common Mormon) is the source of this 293-nucleotide long non-coding RNA. RefSeq lists it as uncharacterized. The transcript is spliced from 4 exons. The record is from RefSeq and is a predicted model, not a curated record. NCBI's taxonomy places the organism in Eukaryota, Metazoa, Arthropoda, Insecta, Lepidoptera, Papilionidae.